GAUCAUGGCUCAGGAUGAACGCUAGCGACAGGCCUAACACAUGCAAGUCGAGGGGCAGCGGAGAGGUAGCAAUACCUUUGCCGGCGACCGGCGCACGGGUGAGUAACACGUAUGCAAUCCACCUGUAACAGGGGGAUAACCCGGAGAAAUCCGGACUAAUACCCCAUAAUAUGGGCGCUCCGCAUGGAGAGCCCAUACAAAGAGAGCUAAUUUUGGUUACAGACGAGCAUGCGCU
This 235-nucleotide ribosomal RNA is filed under the name uncultured bacterium. RNAcentral's name for it is "partial 16S ribosomal RNA". It matches the Rfam family "Bacterial small subunit ribosomal RNA", at positions 15 to 237 of the family's 1533-position model. The record is from RNAcentral.